ACGCUUAUAAAUCAACAUAUUGAUUUAUAAGCAUGGAAAUCCCCUGAGUGAAACAACGAAUUGCUGUGUGUAGUCUUUGCCCAUCUCCCACGAUGGGCUUUUUUUUAA
This 108-nucleotide non-coding RNA is filed under the name Escherichia coli. RNAcentral's name for it is "antisense sRNA RprA". It matches the Rfam family "RprA RNA". From Rfam's summary of the family: Translational regulation of the stationary phase sigma factor RpoS is mediated by the formation of a double-stranded RNA stem-loop structure in the upstream region of the rpoS messenger RNA, occluding the translation initiation site. Clones carrying rprA (RpoS regulator RNA A) increased the translation of RpoS. The rprA gene encodes a 106 nucleotide regulatory RNA. RNAcentral also lists the same sequence under 1 other name. The record is from RNAcentral. Lineage: Bacteria; Pseudomonadati; Pseudomonadota; Gammaproteobacteria; Enterobacterales; Enterobacteriaceae.